CCUACGGGAGGCAGCAGUAGGGAAUAUUGCUCAAUGGGGGAAACCCUGAAGCAGCAACGCCGCGUGGAGGAUGAAGGUUUUCGGAUUGUAAACUCCUUUUGUUAGAGAAGAUAAUGACGGUAUCUAACGAAUAAGCACCGGCUAACUCCGUGCCAGCAGCCGCGGUAAUACGGAGGGUGCAAGCGUUACUCGGAAUCACUGGGCGUAAAGAGCGCGUAGGCGGGAUAGCAAGUCAGAUGUGAAAUCCUAUGGCUUAACCAUAGAACUGCAUUUGAAACUGUUGUUCUAGAGUAUGGGAGGGGUAGGUGGAAUUCUUGGUGUAGGGGUAAAAUGCGUAGAGAUCAAGAGGAAUACUGAUUGCGAAGGCGAGCGGCUAGAACAUAACUGACGCUGAGGCGCGAAAGCGUGGGGAGCAAACAGGAUUAGAUACCCCGGUAGUC
RNAcentral lists this ribosomal RNA (440 nucleotides) under uncultured bacterium. Its description in RNAcentral is "partial 16S ribosomal RNA". It matches the Rfam family "Bacterial small subunit ribosomal RNA", at positions 338 to 795 of the family's 1533-position model. The record is from RNAcentral.